RNAcentral lists this non-coding RNA (137 nucleotides) under chicken gut metagenome. RNAcentral's name for it is "FMN riboswitch (RFN element)". It matches the Rfam family "FMN riboswitch aptamer (RFN element)". From Rfam's summary of the family: The RFN element is a highly conserved domain that is found frequently in the 5'-untranslated regions of prokaryotic mRNAs that encode for flavin mononucleotide (FMN) biosynthesis and transport proteins. This element is a metabolite-dependent riboswitch that directly binds FMN in the absence of proteins. The record is from RNAcentral.
AGUUUCAGGGCGAGGUGAAAUUCCUCACUGGCGGUAAGUGGUUUACUACCAACAAGUCCGCGAGCCGGGUAUGCGUCAGCAUCGAUGGCAGAAUGGGUGUGAUUCCCAUACCAACGGUACAGUCCGGAUGGAAGAAA